Long non-coding RNA from Cygnus atratus (black swan), 3182 nucleotides. RefSeq lists it as uncharacterized. Lineage: Eukaryota; Metazoa; Chordata; Aves; Anseriformes; Anatidae. The transcript is spliced from 3 exons. The record is from RefSeq and is a predicted model, not a curated record.
AAUAAAAAUGUGGCAGUCUUUGAAACUGCCAUGAUUUUGGAACCAGCAGUGUUUUUCCUGCUUGAAGAGUGGAAAAUACUGUUCUAAUUUGCUUUAAACUAUAUCAACUAACGCAACUCAUCUCCUUGAUAGCCACCAAAUACUGCAAGCGUUGCCAAAAAAGGUGCUACUUAGCUCUCUUGUUUUUUCAGUAGCCUCAAGACCUUCCAGGAACCUAACCAGGCAUUGCAAGUGAAUUUCUUAAUUUUAUUUAUUUAAUUUCUGCCCGUGAGUCCUUAAACCAAAUCAGGAGGAGAUACGAGUCUGAGCCAAACACGGAUGACAAAGGCGUGGGAGAUGCUGGCUGCACCGGGGGAGCCUUGGGCGGGGUGCCGAGGCUGUGGUGUCAGUGGGCUUUGUACAUAGGACAUCGUGCUUCCUUACUCUUCAGAGUGAAUGAGGAAAGUGGUGGAAUUGUGUUUUAUAGGAAGAUCAAAUUCCCUGUAUUGCAGAGCUCUUCAUAGAUCUGUAUGGCUUUGACCUGACUGUGCUGUAGGCUUGCCUGGCACUCGAAAGGCAACUGCGCUGCUGUGACGAUCGUUCUCAUGCUGCACUCAAGAUGCGUGGCUUUGGAAAAGAUGCUCGAGCUUUCUUCAAACGUGGAACUUCUGUUGAGAGGGAGCUGCAGUUGUGACUCACCGCCGGGCUAUAGUGGGAGGGCUGCGGAAGGAAAAGCUGAAGGAAGCUCUCACCACUGUCUUACAUGACUAAAAUGUAAAGCAAGUAUUAGUCGUUCCUAUGCUGCCUUAUUUUUGGCUUAAUUUUGGUAUCAGGAGCGUGGCUUUGGCUUUACAGGUGUUUCACGUCUGCUCUACAUACUUUUUGACCCGCCGGGGUUAUCACUUUCAAGAGGUAACCACAGGUAUCGAUUUCAGGCUGUUUUUUAGCUUGUGUGGUAUUAUUUAACAGCGCAUAAAAAGAAGAGGGCAAGUGAAGCUAAUCCUGUAUUAUCUCAGUUUUUGACUACCAUUAGGAUGAUGCCAUUGCCUUAGAUGCACUGUUUUGCACUUGCACUGAGGCAAAAAGUAUAAGGGGUUCAGAGGAUCCUACCUCAGUCCUGUGAGCAGAGCAGUCAAAGUGACAGCCUUGCCAUAUCAUAGGAAAACACCAAAGAGUACAAUGGGACACAGCUUAAUUUUAAUAUCAGCAGACCAGGGAGAGAAAGCUAAUUUUAAUUUAAAUAAAUUAGAUCACUGAGAAGGCUGCUUGGGAAUUAUUUUUAAAAAGCAAUAAUAAGAAAUGGCAUAUUAAAUUUUUCUGGGUCAGGUUUGGGGAAUGAAGUCUUAAAACAGACAUUAGGGCUUUUAUUCAUAUUAUUUGUGAACACUUCCAUGGAGAUAUAAAAACAAAGCAACUAGGAAUACUUAGCUACUUAUUUAGGCAAUGAUGGGGAAAAAUAUCUCAGACUUGUAAAGAAAAACCUUACAGUAGCUUAUCGUGGGCUGAAGCAUGCAUAAUUAAACUAUUAAGUCACAGUGGAUUAUUCCAGCACGAGUCUACUUCUGAAUUUCCUUCGUUAUUUGAUUAUGAUGCUGCUGGUGAUGAACUGAAAUCAAGACCUUUGAUAAUUUAAUAAAUCCAGUACGAGAAGAUGAAUAUGAUUAGACUUGGAAUAGAAAUGUUAUUGUACUGAUUUUUAGGUACUUACAGUAACGCAUAUAUUUGAAUCAAGUGUUCUUGAGUCACUAUUUUAAAGGCAUCAGUAAAUCAGACUUAUUUUGCAUGAGACCUACAUUUAAUUUUGUUUUGGAUGUUUCAGGUUGCUCAUUUUUUCUGUUACUUGUAGCACGUGGAUAUUCUAAAUGGAACAAACCAGUUUUUGGUAAUAACUUAUGCUAGGUAAAUUCAAAGCCUUCAGCAAAGGUCGCAUCCUGACUGAGCAAAUGGGGAUAUGACUUCAUCUUAUGGAAAGCUUUAGGCUCCUCUUUCCUAUUUAAGUGGCAUGUCAGAGGUUGCCUAGGAAAGCAUCUUUUUGGUAGACAAAGGGGACCUUUUGUUCCCAUCUCAGACAUCAGCUGGUGGGGCUCACGGAACAAAUUCUUCAUUUUUGUGCAUCUAAUUUGCAGUGAUUAAAUUAUGAAAUGAAAAUUAAAGGCCAUGUUGGGCAGUCAGAGUAUUUGUACAGUGAGAUUCUCUGUCAGAGCAGGAAUUACUUGUCUGAUCUAAACCAGAUGAAAAAUGAGGAGGGUGGACUUAACAUUCAUGAUGUUUUAAACAGGAAAAAUACUUUUUUAUCCCUUUGAGUGACGUAUGUGCUACAGAAUUUCUAAAAGUAGGCUGGUUUUGGACUCAUUUGUGGACUUAGAAAACUUUUGUAUACCUGUUUUCUAAAUUAUUUGCCUGUUUUCCUUGCUUGAUACUCGUAUUAGAGAUGACUGCAGAUGUUAGAAGUUAUCUAUAAAGCAAUAUCCUUAUCUUAACAGUAUAGUUGUAAACCUGCAGCCCAAUUAUAUCAUAAAUGAAAACAGGCUUUUCCAGUGCUUCUGUAAGGAAAUGAUUAGUUAAAUGAAAGCCUAUCAGCAAAGGGAAAGAUAAAGUCCUGUAAAUGUUCUUGAGAUGUUUAAAGUUCAGGGAGUAUUUGGUUUUUACCAUUUGUCUUUUAAGAGAAAUAAAUCUGUUUUGAGCCUCAUUGCUUCCAAGUUUUGAUCUGAAAGAUUUUUCCUGCUGUCAAGACAAGCUGACUUCAGCUUUAAGAACAGUGGCCACAGGUGCUGCAAGGAAGACUCAGUUGUCCAAGGACUGUAUGGUGUUAACACGUGCACCUGAAAUUGCUUCAGCAGAUGAUUCUGGUAGGUUUUAUAGCAGCUUAGUCUGCAAAGGCCAAAAAAAAAAAAAAAAGCUCUAUCUGUAUCAGUAGUUUGCAGUUCAAAGUCACAUGGCCAUAUGCACUGCUAGAAAUUCUUCAUCCUAUUUGCAGUUAUAUUCUAAAUCGUUCACACCAUGACGCUAAUAAAUGGGAUCUGCAGAAUGAUUUUAGACUCGGCACAUCCUCAGCGCAGUCGCAGUGAUUUGGCCUGGGAACGUUAGAGACUCAGUGUCUUGCCUAGGAGGCUAGUUCCUAGCUCCUUCAAAACCUGUGUUGUCAUCUUUUUUUAAAAAAAUAAUAAAAUAAAAACGUUGCCACUUAAAAGGCAUUUUAAGCU